RNAcentral lists this ribosomal RNA (214 nucleotides) under Escherichia coli. Its description in RNAcentral is "partial 23S ribosomal RNA". It matches the Rfam family "Bacterial large subunit ribosomal RNA", at positions 1133 to 1345 of the family's 2925-position model. RNAcentral also lists the same sequence under 1 other name. Lineage: Bacteria; Pseudomonadati; Pseudomonadota; Gammaproteobacteria; Enterobacterales; Enterobacteriaceae. The record is from RNAcentral.
CGUAAUAGCUCACUGGUCGAGUCGGCCUGCGCGGAAGAUGUAACGGGGCUAAACCAUGCACCGAAGCUGCGGCAGCGACGCUUAUGCGUUGUUGGGUAGGGGAGCGUUCUGUAAGCCUGUGAAGGUGUGCUGUGAGGCAUGCUGGAGGUAUCAGAAGUGCGAAUGCUGACAUAAGUAACGAUAAAGCGGGUGAAAAGCCCGCUCGCCGGAAGAC